This 402-nucleotide ribosomal RNA is filed under the name uncultured prokaryote. RNAcentral's name for it is "bacterial SSU rRNA". It matches the Rfam family "Bacterial small subunit ribosomal RNA", at positions 355 to 774 of the family's 1533-position model. The record is from RNAcentral.
UGGGGAAUCUUGCGCAAUGGUCGAAAGACUGACGCAGCCAUGCCGCGUGAAUGAUGAAGGUCUUAGGAUUGUAAAAUUCUUUUACCAGUGAAGAUAAUGACUGUAGCUGGAGAAAAAGCCCCGGCUAACUUCGUGCCAGCAGCCGCGGUAAUACGAAGGGGGCUAGCGUUGCUCGGAAUUACUGGGCGUAAAGGGCGCGUAGGCGGAUUAACAAGUUGGAGGUGAAAGCCCAGGGCUCAACCUUGGAAUAGCCUUCAAAACUGUUAAUCUGGAGUAUGGAAGAGGUAAGUGGAAUUCCGAGUGUAGAGGUGAAAUUCGUAGAUAUUCGGAGGAACACCGGUGGCGAAGGCGACUUACUGGUCCAUUACUGACGCUGAGGCGCGAAAGCGUGGGGAGCAAACA